UCAACGCUGGCGGCGUGCCUAACACAUGCAAGUCGAGCGCGAAAGUGGGCUUCGGCCCGCGAGUAGAGCGGCGAACGGGUGAGUAACGCGUGGGUGAUCUACCUUCGAGUGGGGAAUAACACCGGGAAACUGGUGCUAAUACCGCAUGACAUCCUCGGUUCGUUCCGGGGAUCAAAGCCGGGGACCGCAAGGCCUGGCGCUUGGAGAGGAGCCUGCGUCCGAUUAGCUUGUUGGCGGGGUAAUGGCCCACCAAGGCUUCUAUCGGUAGCCGGCCUGAGAGGGCGGACGGCCACACUGGGACUGAGACACGGCCCAGACUCCUACGGGAGGCAGCAGUGGGGAAUUUUUGUCAAUGGGGGAAACCCUGAACAAGCAACGCCGCGUGGAGGAUGAAGGCCCUCGGGUCGUAAACUCCUGUCGAUCGGGAAGAAUGCGUCCGACCUAAUACGUCGGUGCGUUGACUGUACCGGUGGAGGAAGCCACGGCUAACUCU
Molecule: ribosomal RNA, 493 nt
Filed under: uncultured bacterium
Lineage: Bacteria
Description: bacterial SSU rRNA
Rfam family: Bacterial small subunit ribosomal RNA
Source: RNAcentral